AUUGAACGCUGGCGGCAUGCCUUACACAUGCAAGUCGAACGGUAACGCGCCUUCCGGUGCCGUCGGACGGUGGACGGGGGCGUAUUACAUCCGAACGUGCACGCUCGCGGUGGGUAAGGGGGCGCAAGCGUUGCUAAUACCUCAUACGAUCUACUGAUUAGAGCCGGGGGGCGCAAGGCUGUGAGCCGGCGUUGCGGCCGCUGGCAGAUUAGGUAGUUGGUGGGAUAAAAGCUUACCAAGUCGACGAUCUGUAGCUGGUCUGAGAGGAUGAUCAGCCACACUGGGACUGAGACACGGCCCAGACUCCUACGGGAGGCAGCAGUGGGGAAUUUUGGACAAUGGGCGCAAGCCUGAUCCAGCCAUGCCGCGUGCAGGAUGAAGGUCUUCGGGUUGUAAACUGCUGUUGUACGGAACGAAAAGCCUUCUAUGAAAACAGGCGGGUCAUGACGGUACCGAAAGAAUAAGCACCGGCUAACUACGUG
RNAcentral lists this ribosomal RNA (482 nucleotides) under uncultured bacterium. RNAcentral's name for it is "partial 16S ribosomal RNA". It matches the Rfam family "Bacterial small subunit ribosomal RNA", at positions 30 to 507 of the family's 1533-position model. The record is from RNAcentral.